GCAAGUAUUCAAGUAAAAAUCCUCACCUACGGAUGAACGUAGGUAGACGAGGAGUCACGCCUAGCCUCAGUCGCAGAAAGGCGAGCAAAAGGAGGGGGCAAGUAUUCAAGUAACAAUCCUCACCCACGGAUGAACGUAGGUAGACGAGGAGUCGCACUUAGCCUCAGUCGCAGAAAGGCGAGCAAAAGGAGGGGGCAAGUAUUCAAACAACAACCCUCACCUACGGAUGAACGUAGGUAGACGAGGAAUAACACUUAGCCUCAGUCGCAAAAGGCGAGCAAAAGGAGGGGGCAAGUAUUCAGGCAAUAGUCCUCACCCACGGAUAAACGUGGGUAGACGAGGAAGCACACUCAACCCCUAUCGCAGAAAGGCGGACAAAAGGAGGGGGUC
RNAcentral lists this long non-coding RNA (390 nucleotides) under Zostera marina. RNAcentral's name for it is "long non-coding RNA (ZMAR_LNC001239)". The record is from RNAcentral. Lineage: Eukaryota; Viridiplantae; Streptophyta; Magnoliopsida; Alismatales; Zosteraceae.